GACGAACGCUGGCGGCGUGCUUAACACAUGCAAGUCGAACGCUGAAGCUCAGCUUUUGUUGGGUGGAUGAGUGGCGAACGGGUGAGUAACACGUGAGUAACCUGCCUCCUUCUUUGGGAUAACGCCCGGAAACGGGUGCUAAUACUGGAUAUUCACUGGUCUUCGCAUGGGGGUUGGUGGGAAGGGUUUUUCUGGUGGGGGAUGGGCUCGCGGCCUAUCAGCUUGUUGGUGGGGUGAUGGCCUACCAAGGCUUUGACGGGUAGCCGGCCUGAGAGGGUGACCGGUCACAUUGGGACUGAGAUACGGCCCAGACUACUACGGGAGGCAGCAGUGGGGAAUAUUGCACAAUGGGCGCAAGCCUGAUGCAGCGACGCCGCGUGAGGGAUGGAGGCCUUCGGGUUGUGAACCUCUUUCGCUCAUGGUCAAGCCGCAACAAUGGUUGUGGUGAGGGUAGUGGGUAAAGAAGCGCCGGCUAACUACGUG
Molecule: ribosomal RNA, 483 nt
Filed under: uncultured bacterium
Lineage: Bacteria
Description: partial 16S ribosomal RNA
Rfam family: Bacterial small subunit ribosomal RNA
Source: RNAcentral